RNAcentral lists this ribosomal RNA (253 nucleotides) under uncultured bacterium. RNAcentral's name for it is "partial 16S ribosomal RNA". It matches the Rfam family "Bacterial small subunit ribosomal RNA", at positions 524 to 776 of the family's 1533-position model. The record is from RNAcentral.
UACCUGGGGUGCAAACGUUGCUCGGAAUUAUUGGGCGUAAAGCGCGCGUAGGCGGUUACUCAAGUCGGAUGUGAAAGCCCUCGGCUUAACUGAGGAAGUGCACCCGAAACUGAGUAGCUAGAGUACUAAAGAGGGUCGCGGAAUUCCCGGUGUAGAGGUGAAAUUCGUAGAUAUCGGGAGGAACACCGGUGGCGAAGGCGGCGACCUGGGUAGAUACUGACGCUGAGGCGCGAAAGCGUGGGGAGCAAACAGG